RNAcentral lists this ribosomal RNA (253 nucleotides) under uncultured bacterium. RNAcentral describes it as "partial 16S ribosomal RNA". It matches the Rfam family "Bacterial small subunit ribosomal RNA", at positions 524 to 776 of the family's 1533-position model. The record is from RNAcentral.
UACAGAGGGUGCAAGCGUUAAUCGGAAUUACUGGGCGUAAAGCGCAUGUAGGUGGUUACAUAAGUUUGAUGUGAAAGCCCCGGGCUUAACCUGGGAAUUGCGUUGAAGACUGUGUGACUAGAGUCGGACAGAGGGUCGUGGAAUUUCCGGUGUAGCGGUGAAAUGCGUAGAGAUCGGAAAGAACACCAGUGGCGAAGGCGGCGACCUGGGUCCAGACUGACACUGAGGUGCGAAAGCAUGGGGAGCAAACAGG